RNAcentral lists this long non-coding RNA (581 nucleotides) under Homo sapiens (human). RNAcentral describes it as "HSALNT0322334". The record is from RNAcentral. Lineage: Eukaryota; Metazoa; Chordata; Mammalia; Primates; Hominidae.
CAAGUGGGAGGAAGUGUCACAGCUCUUUUAUUUCUGCCACCCACAGCUUGGUGAGUAGGAGCAUUACAGCUCUUUUGCUCCCACAGUUCAGCAAAUUCUGAGUUCCUGUCCCAUGACCAAGAGGAAUGAGGAACAUGGACACCGGAGAAUGAGUAAGGCAGAGUAGAAUUUUAUUCAUCAGCGAGAGGGGACCUGAAAGCAGGUCGCCAUCUGUGAGGCAUUGGUUACAUGAAAACCGUGUGACAACCUUGGAAGUCUGAAAGAGCAGGAGAGAGGCUAAGCACACACAUAUUGUGAUUUUAAGAGUCUCAAGGGCUGACACAAGCUGAGAUGAGGAAAUAUGACCUCCUACACGUGUUUUCCAUGAGGAAUAUGUUUGCUGUGCAGUCACUGAGUUAAAAGCAACCUUCAUUCCCUUGUGCACCAAGGUAGUGCCUCUCCAGAGCUGUAGAUGUCUUCCCAGGAUAUUCCAUCAUUCUACACAGCAUUUAAUUCUUGGAGCUCACAGUCCAAGACUGUUAUCAGUCCAUUUUCACUCUAUUGAUCAAGACAUACUCAAGACUGGGUAAUUUAUAAAGAAA